RNAcentral lists this ribosomal RNA (621 nucleotides) under uncultured Russula. RNAcentral's name for it is "eukaryotic LSU rRNA". The stretch from base 209 to 362 matches the Rfam family "5.8S ribosomal RNA". The record is from RNAcentral. Lineage: Eukaryota; Fungi; Basidiomycota; Agaricomycetes; Russulales; Russulaceae.
UAUUGUAUAAUCGAGGUACUGUGGCUGUCGCUGACCUUUGAAAAGGUUGUGCACGCCUCAGUGCACUCAUAUCCAUCUUACACCUUUUGUGCAUCACCGCGUAGACCCUCUAUUUGGCUUGUUCCAAAGAGGGUUUGCGUUUUUAACACACAUACACAUASCAUGUAUAGAAUGUCUUGACUAAUUUGUGAUAAUACACAAUUAAUACAACUUUCAACAACGGAUCUCUUGGCUCUCGCAUCGAUGAAGAACGCAGCGAAAUGCGAUACGUAAUGUGAAUUGCANAAUUCANUGAAUCAUCGAAUCUNUGAACGCAUCUUGUGCCCCUUGGUAUUCUGAGGGGCACACCCGUUUGAGUGUCGUGAUAUCCUCAACCUUACUUGGUUUUUUUUGACUAAAGAAAGGCUUGGACUUUGGGGGUUUUCUUUGCCGGUCUCCUUAGAAGCCGGCUCCUCCUAAAUGAAUUAGUGGGGUUUGCUUUGCCAAUCCUUGAUGUGAUAAAAUGUUUUUACAUCUUGGGUUUUGCACUGUUACUUUUGGAUCCUGCUUCUAAUUGUCUUGUAAAAGAUAAUAUUCAUAAACCUUGACCUCAAAUCGGGUGAGACUACCCGCUGAACUUAA